This is a long non-coding RNA of Anopheles arabiensis, 10512 nucleotides long. RefSeq lists it as uncharacterized. The record is from RefSeq and is a predicted model, not a curated record. Lineage: Eukaryota; Metazoa; Arthropoda; Insecta; Diptera; Culicidae. The transcript has 3 exons.
GCUGGGUUUGGUGUUUGGGAUCGGUACGCGCUAUAAAAGUCCAAUUGAGAUGAAAUCUACCAAACAGUAUUCGUAUAUCCGUCGUUCUAGACCAGUGGUCGGUGAGGUCUGGUAGGAUCUAGUGAUGUUUUCUGCUGAGCCUUUAAAUGAUUCAUGCCGUUGUCGAAGUGUUUGCUUGGGCGGUGAAAACACGGCGUUACAGUAUUCAGUCCAGUGUUGCCAGUGUCACAGUGACUACGAUCCUGGCCCAAGAGACACAGCCACGCUCGCUCGUGGCAUCGUUUGUGGUGCUGUGCUGCGUACGCGUGAUCAGCGAUAAAGUGCAGGGAACGAUCGAGUGCUCGGGUGGGCAUACGAACGCAGCGUUAUGGUGACUGGUACGCGAAGCGUUAUCAGCUCGGUGGUAGACGUGGUAGUUUGAAUGAUUGCUAGUACUGGCUCACACCAGCAUCCAGGGUAGGCUUACGCCGAUGGUUCAGAUCGGGUCAGAUCGCCGGCGAGUGAUGAAAUGCCGGAGAGAGGAAGUAGCAACAAUUGAACUGUGUCCGGCUCAAGUUUGAGUCGAUUUGGAAUAUAUUUGGAGUGGUAAACGUUUUUGCGAAGAAAAAAGUGAAAAUACAGUGAGAACAAGCGAAAUUACAAGGCAUAUUUCAUGGCAUGUGUCGAUAGAGAGUGUCUGUGUGUGUGUACCAGAAGGUUUGAAGUUGGCAUAGCGAUCGUGUUGUCCUUCGUCGUGCUCUCAGCCAUAUCGAUAGCGUCAGCAUCAUCUUCGUCAUCAUCGUUCCCUUCCGUUCCAGUUGAAUGGUAAAGACAUGGUUAAUGGUUUGGUCGAUGAUGAUAAAACGAAGAUAAAUGAAAGCCGUUCCCAUUGGUUGUCCAGCGCGAUAGCAUAGAGUGAAAGUGCAAUCAUCAUUCAAACACUUGAUGAGCGCUGUACACGAGAAGGGAACCACAAGAAGUAUCGGGCAGGCAUAGUUGGGACGGCUGAUAAUAACAUCCAGAGACAGCAUACCAAUCCCUGGAGGGGCCCUACCGGCGGUAGCCGAAGUUCGAAGCCAAAGGCCAGAAAAGUGAUUGCAAGCAGCGGCAUCUCCAGCCAGCGACCGAUGUGGAUGUGAAAAUGCCCGAAACUGAUAAGAAUUCUUUACUAAGUACUAGUGCCGCAGGAGAGAUUCUAACCCCUGCUGCCCAAGUGCUUAUCGAAGAGUUCCGCUCUCUCAACUGAAGCGCAAAUUGUAUUCCUGUCGAGCAUACCCCUGCGUGCUUGUCAUCCCGUGCGUUCGUAUUGAGGUAAAACGGUGCAAAAAAAAAACCUUGUGCAAAUAAUCAGAACACUGUGAAUUUGUUUCUGCCAAACUUACCAAACGUUCCGAAUUCGUUCUCAAUGGAUCGAUCGAUUGAAGCCCGUUAGGGGUAGGGGAAUUUUGGAAUGCCUUUUUUCUAGCCAGUUUACAAUGCAAUGGUAAGUUAGCCGAGCCGUUGAAAGUUCCUAGAGGACGCCCGAGGGAAAAUGAGGUACAUACAAAAAGACAAGUUGCCCUUACAUUGUCAGAAAAGAAUUCCUGAAAAUCAAUCCAUCCGCUGGGCAUUCAAAGCAGCAAAUUGAAUGAAGCAGCGAAGUGAAGCGGCCAACGGGAUUCACAAAUUCGUACUUAAUCUCUUCCAGCAGCCAGUUUUUCUGUCGGCACGAAACGCAAACGGGCAAUAUAGCGAUCCGCUUACGCGAAGGCACGCGGGCACUGAGAGUGAACUGAUAAGCUCGUCCGACUUACGGGCAAGCCGCGUGCACCAAUGGCUCGAUGGGACGGCGUCUCAAAGAACGGAGAUGAUAAGGUUGACAAGAUUUUCUGCUAUUGAAAAUGUGUGACUUUUUCUUAUUUUAGUUUCAUACACUUAUUGCAGUGAUUUUUUGAUUUUCAGCUUAAAGGUUGAUGCUUCGCUUCCACAUUGGUGAUAACGUGUGUUGAAGGUUUUUCCGUUGCCGUAUCGAACUGUGAUUUUGGUUUUGGCGUGGAUUAUCAGUUUCUGGUUCUUGCCGUGGCUGGCUCGUGUGUGAGGUAUUACGGUUCGUUUCAGGUUCGGAGGGUUUUAUUUGCUGUUGGCUCGACCUUUUCACCGUGGAUGGAGGAUUUUCCUGUCUAUUAAAUUGUUUAGUAUCCGAUUAUCAUAAUCGCCACACUGCAUCGUUAUAGGUAAGUGUAUGGCAGAGAACAUCAGGGGUGGUCAGAUGCUUAGAAUCGGUAUUUAUUUAGUUGCACCGCCCCUCUAAAGCCGAGGUCGUUAAAGUUCGCCAAGAACAUCAAUUUGGAUAUUCUGUACGACUGUAUUGUUGCAAAAAGAGAUUCUGUAGCAAAAUUUGCUUCCAUUCCUAUACAUUUAUUGAUAUCGCUAUAACAAAAAACCACGUCCUUUUUUGGGUAUAGCUAACAUAUUUCUUUUCGCUCUAGGGAAGGUUAAAGGGAGGGCAAAAAAUACUCCACCAGCAGCUCACUAUGCUCCUCACCCCACGCACCACUUUCAAUAUUGGAGGUGCAGUGAUUGGACGUAUUUUUUGAUAGAGUCAUAUUUUGGCUUUACUUCGGUGUAACCAUUUCAUUCGUUGGGGUCCCGGGCGUAGAAAACCAUUGCAUCUCACACCAAGCCCCAUAUGUACAAGGCAAUCGCGUAUUCCAGUGACGACCUGUGUGGCACGGCUUCGUGGUCCUUGGUGUUGGAAGCAGUCGUUUUCCUCGCCGUUGACCUUAACGACACCGACAAUGGGUGUUUUUGCCGUUGCAUCGACCCGUUUUACGAUCUCCCCUUGACGUUUCAACCCCUUGUUACGUGCCAUCCUGUACCUGGGCUCUCCUGGGAAGCGCUUUACGAUCGGACCUACACCUACGCCAGGGAAGGGUGAAACGAAUUUGUAGAGCGUUGGGAGUAUGAAAAAAGCGGACGUGAAGAAAUUUAGCAGCUCAUAGUCAAUGCAAUUCACGCCCGAAAAUCUUCUGGUUCGUCGCAUCUGGUUCCUUCAUGCCAGGGUGUGGAACACUGCUGCAAGCUUGAUGCAAUGGUCAGCGUACACGCUAAUGCCUCGUAACGAGUUUACUGGAGUGCUUCUGAGCUUUGUUUUGCUAGUGCUUUUUCCUGCUUUGUUUCGUCGUUACAAUAACAAUGCUGCGAUGGGUGCAAGGACAGUACAGGAACCCAUAUUAUAAUGGAUGGUAAAUAGACGAAAGGAAAUUGUACUCAAAUUUUAUUUAAAAAAGAUGCAAUAGAUGCAUGCUAUCAGCAUAGGAAAACAGUUUUUUCUUUGUUUCAAGCUCGAAACAAAGCUUACAUUAUCUAACAAUCGAGAAUGUUUUCUUGUAUCUAGAAUCUUAUUUUUUGGUUUGUUUCCUAUUACACACACAUUCAAAAAUCACACUUUUCCGUACUGUUUGUGCAUGUUUAGUUAAAUUUUAAAAUUUGUAUAAAUUUACGCAUGAUCGCGUAUUGUAUUGUACUAUAGCGUGUGUGAUGUGGGGAGAAAGUCGUUUUGACAAUAGGUACCUCUUUUGGAGCGAAAUUUCUUAUAAGACAUAGUAAGAAAAAGGACCAGUAGGUUGCUUUAUGUGCUGUAACUUUAUUUUCGAUAAAAUUACAUUAUCUAGUACUUAAAUAAAUCAUUGAUUAAAUAAUAUAAAACGUGAGUAGUUGAAAUGUACCAUAGAAAAUAAAAAGUUCCUUUUUGUAAUACUUUGCUCUCCGUUUUCCUUUGAAUUGUAUUUGGAAUUUGACGAUUUGUGUUUAUUAAACGACAAGUAAAAUAUUAAUUCAGUGCUGUAAUUUAAUUUUAUUACUCUGAACCAAAAACUAGGAGAACAAAUAUGUUAAUUAUAAUGUAAUAGCUUCGAAUGUUUGCAUGUUAUUUUUCUCCAUACAAAUAUCAGCAAUGCUUUAUUGUAUUGUUUCCUUCAUACGCCCAUUUAUUCAGAAGGAACGGCUGCGGCUUAUAUUGCUUGUACAAUAUUUUGGAGGUAGUAAAUAAUGAAGAAAUGUUAAAUGGUUUACUAUAACACAAGGAACAAAACAUUGCAACAGUGUUACGGAUGUGAUGCGAAAUAUGUCGGAACGUUCCCUUGCAGUUCCAAUGUUCACAUUAAAUGUCGCUGAUAAUGAAGUAAUUGAAUGUAGAGCGUAAUUGAAAACAUCAACCACGUUCCAAAUGUAAUCGAUUUGAAUAUUCAUAGCCAAACGAAAAUCGGCGUUUUUGUACCAUUCAUUUGAAUAAUCCGCCACAUUCUAAACAAAAUUACACUCGCCCCAAACCCCUGGUAGUAGACCGGUUAUAACCGAUUUAUUUGUAAGUCAAAAAUUUGCAACUUAAUUUACGCUCCGGUUCGUGCAGGAGUACUUCGGAAAAAAUGAUUUCUUCCUGUUGGGGUAGCGGCAAGGAGGCGAAAUGAUUGGACACGGCUCGCAUUUUUUUUAGAGCCAGCCGCCACCACGUCAAGAAAGUUUGCAUGCUUCGCAUAAAAUCAACACCCUCCGGUUUGGCGAAAAAUGUAAUUAAAUCAUAAAUCCGUGACGGUUUAAUGUACACCUUCUCGCCUGUGCACUAAUGAACACACGUACCCUCCAUCGCCCAGACACAUCACCACCAGCGGUGGAAGAGGAACCGAACGUAAACACACUUUUUACGUUCCGAUUAUGCUACGCAUCGUGUUCGCGUGUUGGGAGCUGGGAAGAAAACGCCUUGCCCAUUAAAAGGCUGUGAGGAAAUCGUUCAGCCUUAGGUUUUGUAAGCGGCGAGCAAAUCAUGCUGCACCCCAGUCUCGCACCCCGCUCACUCACGCACGCAACUACGCUCAGCCAGUUCUUGAGGGUCGGUUACGUUCACCUAGCAUUGCUUCCGGAAAUCUUUCCGGCCGGAGCCGUGAGGUUGGCUCCGGUUGAAAACUUUGCCUUUGCCGCACGCCUAGCUACGUUUCCUCCAUAGAAGGCAAAACGCCAGUUGCUUCCUUGCGUUUGUAGCCACAUCGACGCGUAGGAGACGCUUGUGUACAUGCUGAAAAUGUCCUGCGGCGUAUGCAAACUACGGAAGUUGAUAAUUUUCUAAGCAACUUUGACUGUUAUUUAAUCACCGUAUACGAUUUUAUUAUCUCUUCACCAUUGCCCCGACACACAUACCCAUCCACAUUUCCGACUGAUCAUUACAAGGCCACAUCCGGUUCCGCAUGCCGAUCCGUGCUUUGCCAGCGGGACGCUUCGUAUCACUAGGACGAGCAGACGGAAGUACGUGCAAAUGAGCGAGCGUGAACGAUCUUUUGAAGGUGUAAGGAAGUAGUUAGAGUUCCUCGGGAAUGAAAACAUUUGAAGCUGCUUCUAGUGCUUCUGUAUUUUAAUGCAUGGAUUGAUUCAAACACCGUUGACCGUUGGCACUUCCGUGAGAUGUCCGGCUGCUUCGAUCCUCACGCAAAAGACGAAUUAAUCACAAAUGAACCUGUUUCUCCUUAUAUAUAAAAUAAUAAGCAGUCGUGCCUCACACAUGUCAGGAAAGAAUGUGAAACAUGAUGGCAGUUGCUUUGGUACUGACCCUUCUAUGGUUUAUGAUUGGUCAGUACGGAUGACUACUAAUCACGACAUCGAUAUCCGAGCUACAGUAGCGACGGUACGGACCCGCAACAGGAGGUAAAUCAACGAGUGAAGUAAAUAUUGUAUUUUUUCCUUCUGCACAGCUAGCCCAUAAUCUACCAACAAUCUCCUUGAAAAGCAUGGCAGUGGUUUGAGACAGCAACAAAUUAGCAUAAAUAAUUGUAGCCUAUGCUUAGCUUCGUGACCAAUACUUCCUUAGUAAGAGCAUUGUGCAUAGGUGAACUACAAACUGCCCAUUCAUUUGAUGGAUUGUGAGUUUAUGUAAAUCCAAACAUUUGUGAUUAUUACACUACGAAGCUGGAUUUUUUAAAGCCGCUUAUUACUCGCAUGCUAGUAUGCCAAUGCAGCUUUAAAGCUAUGCUGAUGCAUCACGCUGUGCAAUUACUGCAUUGUACACUUUAUUGGUGCAUUUGAUUUGCCUUUUUAAAAAGAAUAUUUUUAUGUUUUAGGUACUGUGGUAAUUUCAUUUACGAAUUGUCGAGCAACAGCAAUUGAGAUUAAUAACAUGGUUUAUUUUAAAAAUGUGCAAAGGCUGCCUAAACAACUCUCUGCUAAUGAAACGGGAACAAACCUAUGGAAUUCUUAUUUGAACAGUUUCCGGUCUUCUGAACUCGUUAAAUAAUGCAUGGUUUGAUACCUAACUUUCCAUGCAAUGUGUUAGCAUGUAUAACAAAGCGUUUGUUUAUUUUUGCUUGCAUUUUUUAUAGUUUUGUUGUUGUUGUAGUUGACCUUUCAUAAAAAAGCUGGUAGUCAGAAAAUGCCGGUACCCCAUUCUUCAGUGGUGAAAUUGAAAGAGGAAUUUAAUUAGUGCCCGAACCCCGCAGUGGCUCGUUUGAUGUUGCGCAAAUUGUGUCAUCAUGGUUCAAGGUUGUACCACCGUACGAAACAAAAGAGCAGCAGUAGCGGAGGCAAAAAUUUGGCGAAAGUACCUUUCACCUUCUUUAGACACUAAUUACGGCUUGCACGCACGGUUCCAUUGUCUAAUGGCUGGAAUCAAUUGAAAGUUUUGCAGGGUUAAGGUGGAAGCUUCAUACCAGUGAAGGGAAACGAACGCACAUACGGAAGAUAAAAUGAGAGGAAAGUUUGAGCGAGAUGAAAGAGUACCACAGCAGAUAAACUAAUUGCUUUUUUGAAGAGGUCCAUACCAUGCUGAAGGUAUCCUUGUUGGUAGACAAGUAUAUACACUUCUACAAAGGAAAAUAUUUGUUAAUUUCUCUGCUACGUAAAUAUGGCAAUACAAAAACCAUUUCCUCCGUGCCGGCAUUUUUGUCUACUUUUUACCAAAUCAAUCUUUCUAUAGGUCCAAAGAUUUUGCUCCAGGUGGCUCCACGGGUGGAUUCCAUUGUUUUCUUAGUUUGACAGACCAGACAAUACUUCCUCUGGGUAAAUGUGUGAGCGUUAUAAUGAAGGUCGGAGUGUGUUGUGUGGUUGUCGUUAUCCGACUUUCAUUGAAUUGUGUAUCGAUGCUACCGUACUGCGCUCCUUUCGUAGGCAUCUUUCUGACAUUAGCACAAUAGAUCAAACGAAAAAUGCAGUGAAUGUAGUGGAUGAAUGCAACCUGAAUGCCUCUGGUACAAUUGCUUGGCCUGACUGCUCUCAGUAUCACCUUUAAGUGACAUUCAUUGGUACGCGUUUGCACAGGACAGCCCAUGAGUGGACAAUAAAGACAGCUGGUGGAACUGCAGUACCGUCAGCAGUAUCCGGAGGCUGCACAAGUCUGGUGGGAUGUAUUAAGCAAUAGUUGAGGUUAGCAGGCGGUGCGUCCAAUAUUCUACAAUGGUCUGUACGACGUUGCCCUUGAUGAACGGAGAAAUACUGGCUGGAACGAGAUUUCAUUGCCAGACAAACCUGCACUUCCUUCCAGCGGAGCUAAACGGUAUAGUCUUUCUGUGCAAUAUAUCAUGCUAGUUAAUUUAAUUCACUUCGCAAAGUGUGAACCCUCGAUGAUUCCCCCGGUUGGCUGCAGACAGAGACACUUUUCUGUGUUGUUUGUCUUUUAUUGGAGGGUUUUACUUGAAGGGUUACGGUGUAGUUUAUAGCUAAAAGUACAUUAAACAGCAAUUUGGCUUGUGCUAGCAGCGUUAGGUAGGUGCUGUCACGAUUCUGUAAUGAAAAAGUGGUGUGUCAGCAAAAGAGAUUGUUCUAAAUGCUUGAUUUGCAAUCAGUUGAUGUUUAUAAUGGGCUAUGAGGGGCGACGUUGGGUUUUGUUUUGUAUAAAAUAAAACGUAAACAAUCAGAGCAAUGUUGACGAUGUCAUUUUACAUCACUCGAACUCGCACUUACCCGAUCUUCUUUUGAUUGUUCUCAUACUGUGCUUGUAUCUUACCCGCAUACGAGUGGUUAAAAUUUUGUAGUCUUCAUUUGGGUGAUGUCACAGUCAAUUGAGUGCCAGGGUGAGUCGGGUCAGCAGAAGUCAACCGACUAAGUGAAUUUAACAUUUAAUUCGAUUCGACUGUGAAGAAACAGAAGGAAUGAUUGAAUGGCGGUUGUGGUUGUGUCGGGCACCGUUGCGAACGUUGUCUAGCCUAUUCUGAACUAAUCAAACUGAUCAGCUCGAACGGAGGAAUAAUCAUGAGAAAGUGUCACACAAGCAAAUAAGAUGGAUGCCUUUCAACGCCCAACUGAAAGCACGAACAAGGGCCGAGCAACGAUCAAUCCGUUUCAAUUGUGUCCAUAGUGACUGUCAUUGAGGAUUCGCUUUCCAGUACGCUUUUAAUGUUAUCUACACUACCGAAUCUAUACAUUUAUGAGAAGAAUGUUGAAAAACAUAAUAUUCACUAAUUGUUGUUGAAAGAAAGUGUUCACAUCAAUAGUAGUUCAAAUUCAAGAGAAGAUUAUUAAAACGAAUGAUUAAGAUACUUGCCAAUCCUGACCUAUGUAACAGAAUUGAUUGUUGGAGUAUAACUUCUUUCUUCGUUUCGUUUCGUUAUCGUUUCUAAUAUGAAUUAGGUAUAUUUAGCACAGCACAUUACUAGUAACUUUUAAAAUAUGUUUCAAAUCAUUCAAUUUGUUUGCACGCAUACUUCAUUGUUAAAAAAACAACUUAAGCUAUAGCAUUGCAUAAAUUUCGGUAUGAAUACGCUUAAUGAAAUACUUACGAAUAACAACGGUCGUACAUUAAUCAAUUGAGCUACUCCUUCAUGCUUUAAACAUGAUUAUAUAUUGUUCUUACAAGUUCAAUUACAAAUGCAAAUAAGCCCUGCCGGAUCAUUCUUUAUAAAUAAUAACAUUUUUUUAUGGCAUACGACCAUACGAAAUUCAUAUUCUGAGCAAAGUUAAUACAUUAAAAGAUCUAUUUUUAAAGCAUUUAUGCAUUUGAAUUCGGUUUGUCAAGUGCUUACUGAGAAAAUAAUGGUACCUCAAAAAAUAAUUUAAAAUGAUCUGAAGUUGUGAAACUUCAAUGGAAGUUUUGUUUUCCCGAGUGGUCAAAAGUGUAUUGCUCCAUGGUAAUUGGUUAUUUUAAAAUUAUUUUCCCAUUUUACUUUUGUGAGCAAUUCGAGUGGUUUUGGUGUGUUUGUUUUGCACAAUCAACUUGAAAGACAGUUCAAGAUGGAAAAGUUGCCCAAUCUGUUUCCAGCUGGCAACAGGUCGUACUAUGGUGAAUGUACUGUGAUAAGCACGAAAUGCUUAGGAUUCGAUGCGAGGACUCUUCCAAAAUCGGCAGUUUGACGUUGCGUUGUGGCCGUAGGCAAUGAAACACACUUCUCCUCUCUUCUCCUCAUCCUUAUCCGCCGUUGUGAAGACUAAUCCUGGUCGGUAUGACGAUGGUACGACCUUAGACAGAGCUAUCAUCGCCUCUGACUGUGAGCUGUGCUGGGUAUUGAGUUAAGGAGAUUCCUCUCGAGUCGAGUAAGUGAAGCUACCCCGAGGCGUACAAACGAUCCACUUGUAUCGUCCGAUGAAAUUAAGCGUCAUCUCAGGUCAUGCCUGUUGGCAACAGCUAUUAGAGGCUUUUCGAAGGAUCGCACGGUGCAUGACGGACAUGGAGAGGGAAGCAAUUGGAACCCCAGUCCGCUCAAUCUUCGCGGUGACUGAUGUUGAUUUCGAUUAAGGGAACGGCAAUCUUUAGCUAAAUGGAUUAGUUCAAAAUUAAUUGCUCGUUAUUUCGAACAAACUCGACGCGCUUCAGCGAUCUGCUGAAUCCGGGUGUCGGCAGCAGUUUUCCUUCGAUACGAGUUGUUGAUCAUUUUCUAGAAAGCUGCAAAAUGUGUUCUUCGCGAUGCAAUAGUUCGGCAUCAUGUGUGACGGUUUAAUACAUCCUGAAUACUUUAUUCAUGAUUCAUAUUUUUUCAAAUAACUUUUCAUACAAUAUAGGUGUUGCAUUUCAUUAUAUAUUAUUAUUAAGCAUAAAGAGAUGACAUUUGCGCGAUGGAAACAUGUCUUAUUAUCAAAAAUGUGUAAACUAAAAAGUCUAGUGAAACCGGGGUGUUCCGUACUAUUGAUCGAUUCGUAUCUCCUAUUCAGCUCCGACAUUCCAAUCAAUUUCCAAAGUGUGGAAAAGUGUCUCUAGUUUUCUUUUUUGUAUGUUUCAACAAAACAGCUAUCAACAAUAAUAAGAAUAAUAAUAAUCCUACAAAUAAUAUUAAUAAUAAAAAUAGUAAAAAUCAUAAAACUCAUAAAGGACUGCCCCCUGUGGUACAGUUGUCAGCUCGUGUGACUCAAUAAAAUGUCCGCCAUGGGCUAAAGCCUAGAAUGAACAGCCCCCUUCCCCCAAAGGAAUGACUAUCCGGCUGCGUGGUACUGAAUAAGUCUCGAUAGUCUGUAUGUCGAAGGCCACAUGUCUGCGUAGGAAGUUACGCCAAGCAGAAUUAUAAUAAUAAUGCAAAUAUUGAUAAUUAUCAAAAUAACAAAAGAGGUGAAAAAUAACAUCAGUUACAAUAAAUAUAAAAAACUAAC